Molecule: ribosomal RNA, 492 nt
Filed under: uncultured bacterium
Lineage: Bacteria
Description: partial 16S ribosomal RNA
Rfam family: Bacterial small subunit ribosomal RNA
Source: RNAcentral
AGUGAACGCUGGCGGUAGGCCUAACACAUGCAAGUCGAACGGCAGCACAGUAAGAGCUUGCUCUUACGGUUGGCGAGUGGCGGACGGGUGAGGAAUACAUCGGAAUCUACUUUUUCGUGGGGGAUAACGUAGGGAAACUUACGCUAAUACCGCAUACGACCUACGGGUGAAAUCAGGGGAUCUUCGGACCUUGCGCGAUUGAAUUAGCCGAUGUCGGAUUAGCUAGUUGGCGGGGUAAAGGCCCACCAAGGCGACGAUCCGUAGCUGGUCUGAGAGGAUGAUCAGCCACACUGGAACUGAGACACGGUCCAGACUCCUACGGGAGGCAGCAGUGGGGAAUCUUGGACAAUGGGCGCAAGCCUGAUCCAGCCAUACCGCGUGGGUGAAGAAGGCCUUCGGGUUGUAAAGCCCUUUUGUUGGGAAAGAAAAGCAGCAGGUUAAUACCCCGCUGUUCUGACGGUACCCAAAGAAUAAGCACCGGCUAACUUCGUG